GAAACACAACUAAGACCUGGUAGAUAGUGCUGCAGGUUCUGUGGUUGCUGCUUUAGUCUCUGUGAGUUUUGCUCAGUUGAUUUAGAGGGACUUGUUCUCCUGGUGUCCUCCAACACCCUUCUUUCUUACACUUUCUGCCUCCUCAUCCUUGGGCUUCCCUGUGCUCCAAAGGGAGGGCUUUGAUAGAGACAUCCAUUUAAAGCGGUUUCAAGCUAUCUCUCUCUCUCUGUGUAAUGUCUGGCUAUGAGUUUCUAUAUUUGUUUCAGGGGGAAGAUUCUCUGAUGAUGGCUGAAUAAGGCACUGAUCUAUAAGUAUAGCAGAAUAUCAUUAGGAAUCAUUUUAUCACUACUUUUUUUUAAUAAUAAAAAAAGGAGACUAGUAAUAUUUGGCUUUACCCCAGGUCUCCGGGGUGAUAUCUGUUUCUUUUGUUACUGGUUUGUUUGGUAUGGGUUCCAUCUCAUGGUUGUGGGCCUUAAGUCAAAUGAGAUAUUGGCUGGUAACUCCUAUAAGCUUCAUGCCACCAUUUCCCUUGCAUACUUUGAAAACAGAACAUCACUGUAGAUCAAAAUAUUUGUGGCUGGGUUAGAGCUUAUGUUUCUCUUUUUGGUAGUCUGAAGAAUACCUUCUUGUACCAAAGACACUAGAAUAUAGGAAUGAAGGUUCAAUGUAGGCACCAGCUCCACCUCUCCAUGGUCAGUGACUUGUGUGGGUGUUGAUUUCAACAAUAGGGCCUUGCUGUCAGUUUGUGGAGAGCAACGUCUUGGCAAUAGCUUGCAUUGCUGGGGGAUUUCCAUGGUUCUCCUUUGGCCAAUAACUCAAUUGGAUGUAAUCCAAUCUCUGUCCUAGAAGCUUUGUUUAGUGACAAGAGAUGGCCAGUUGGGACUCCAUUUCCAUAUUUUGGAGACUUCACUAGGAUCACCUUCAUAUACUUUAGGAGAUUUCCAUUAUGCUAGGUUUCCAUGGCACCCCUCAGAUACUCUUCAGUUGUAGCUGUCUUUCCCCAUAUUCCCUCCCUCAACCCAUCUCAUCUCUCCUUCCACAUCUGAUCCAUCCAUUCCCAGCCCACAGUCCAUCCAUAAAAUAUCUAAUAUUUCUCUGUCUCAAGGAGAUACAUGUGUUCCCCCUAGGGCUACCAGCUACCACAAAUUUUAAUUCAGUACAAUUAGUAAUAAAUUGUGAAAAAAGGACAGGAUUUUUCUCUACCUUAUUUUUUAAUUAGAUAUUUUCUUUAUAUACAUUUCAAAUGCUAUCCGGAAAGUUCCCUAUACCCUCACCCCACCUUGCUUCCCUACCCACCCACUCCCAAUUUUUGGCCCUGGCAUUCCCCUGUACUGGGGCAUAUAAAGUUUGCAAUACCAAGGGGCCUCUCUUCCCAGUGAUGGCCGACUAGGCCAUCUUCUGCUACAUAUGUAGCUAGAGACACCCAGAAGUAGUUCCAACUGGUAAUAAGAACACAUGCUCCACUAUGUUUCUCUACCUUAUUAAAUAUAUAUUGAGAGUCUAAUCAGGUCAAAUUCCAACAUUUCUGAGAAUUUCCUUGUGGACAAUCCAAAGGAAAGUAUGCGUUGGAAUGAUAGUACAAUUUACCCACAAUACACAAAGACCUCCAUUUUACAUGAGUUAUAGUUUAUAAGUUAGGUUAGUACUGCCUUACAAAACUGUAUCAUAGAUAGAGUGUAGGAUAACCCAAUGAAAACAGAGGUAUAAUAUUCCUUGAUUGUCCAUAUCCUUGGAAUCAUUCUAAUCAAGUCAAUCAUGUCCAACCUCUGUCAAAGAAAUGGCAUAUGCAGGGAGAGGAAAGAGGGGAGACCCUUGAAUCACUUUGACCCUAGCGAGUGAAGGACCCACAUUAUUCACUCUGUGAAAUUGAUGAUGAAAGCAAAAGUGAUUGACAGGUACUGAGGGAAGCCAUUGUUCUUUACAUGAGAUAAUGUGGAUAACAGGUGUUACUGUAUAGCACGAGGAGUCACCUGUACCAAGGUGAUGUAUCUGGGCCCCAUCAGAGUAUGCUCCUCUGGAAGGGGAAGGGGCUCACUGGCCAGCCUGUGAAACUUUAUGGAAUUCUGGAAUUGCAUGGCAUGUGGCAAGUGUGCUGUCUCUUCCUGUGCAGUGACUACCUGUAGAGGCUCAGUGGGUGAGUCCUGUGACUAAACUGAAAGGCUUGUAGAUCUUUAUGUUCGACAGAGUCCUCUUUCUUCCUAGUAGAUUCGUACCACAGAAACUGUACUCUUAAAAUAUUAAGCUAGUAAUUUUUUGUGAAAAGACAUUUCAUGUUGAUAUUGUUUCAUUUUUUAAUAACAUUAAAAUACCACCAACAACCUGGUCUGUGAAAAGACAUUUUGAACUGAAUGCAUUAUCUUUUAUUUUAGAUUUAUGUUUACAUAUUGUUAUGACUGAAAGUAUUAUAGUUACUUUCAUGUGAGUUAAAACUCAACUGUAACAAUUCAUUGACUAAAUAUUAUGAUGGUAGUCAACUUUCACUUGGAAGUGUUAAUUAUUCACCUCGUAGUGCACUCAUAAAAAAGAUUUACCCACAGUCUCCUCGGAGUAGAAAGCAUAUUGUCUCUUGAUAUAUUUCAUAAGCACAUUCUCCCCACACUCGCAGAACAAGGUCAUUAUGCUUUCUCUCCUGUGACACCCAGGAAGCUGUAGCUACUCGCCCUGGGUUGGACAUGCCACGUAUGUUAGAAAUGCUGUGUACUUCUCUUCAGUGUAAUGGGCACUAGAGCCUUUGUGUCGUUGACUCUGUGGGUUAUAGAACAUCUUGAUUAAGCAAUUACCGAGGAUGUUUUAGACGGACUGUAUAGUGCAGAUACACUAUGUUUUGAUUUAAUGACCAUUUCCUUUAUAUUCUUUUCAUUUAAAAUUCAAGAGGC
Molecule: long non-coding RNA, 2876 nt
Filed under: Mus musculus (house mouse)
Lineage: Eukaryota; Metazoa; Chordata; Mammalia; Rodentia; Muridae
Description: long non-coding RNA chr12:53378905-53381781
Source: RNAcentral